Molecule: transfer RNA, 68 nt
Filed under: Thanmoia reticulipennis
Lineage: Eukaryota; Metazoa; Arthropoda; Insecta; Orthoptera; Acrididae
Description: Paratoacris reticulipennis tRNA-Ala
Source: RNAcentral
AGGGCUAUAGUUAACUAUAACAUUUGGGUUGCAUUCAAAAAGUAUUGAUAUUGAGUCAAUUAGCCUUA